UACGUAGGGUGCAAGCGUUGUCCGGAAUUAUUGGGCGUAAAGAGCGUGUAGGCGGCCCGAUUAGUCCGCUGUGAAAGUCCAGGGCUCAACCCUGGAAUGCCGGUGGAUACUGUCGGGCUAGAGUCCGGAAGGGGCGAGUGGAAUUCCUGGUGUAGCGGUGAAAUGCGCAGAUAUCAGGAAGAACACCAAUGGCGAAGGCAGGUCACUGGGCCGCAACUGACGCUGAGGAGCGAAAGCAUGGGGAGCGAACAGG
RNAcentral lists this ribosomal RNA (253 nucleotides) under uncultured bacterium. RNAcentral's name for it is "partial 16S ribosomal RNA". It matches the Rfam family "Bacterial small subunit ribosomal RNA", at positions 524 to 776 of the family's 1533-position model. The record is from RNAcentral.